Molecule: long non-coding RNA, 2709 nt
Filed under: Homo sapiens (human)
Lineage: Eukaryota; Metazoa; Chordata; Mammalia; Primates; Hominidae
Description: HSALNT0160984
Source: RNAcentral
UGAGGACACCCACUCUGUUGUUUGAGCAGUGCAUAAACCGUAAUUCUGCAUCACACAUUUGCUUCAUAUCAAAGACUUCCUCAUGAUUUCUGCAAAUUCUGGGGAACAUGUAUUUUAUGGCCACCCGGACCCACUGAACAAUCCAUUUCACCAGCAUCUCACCUUCCAGGAUUGCUCUCUUCUCUCUGUCCUAUACUGUACCAUCAAAGCUUUUGACUUAAUAAAAAGCUACUUUUUAUUUUUAUUUACAGGCAUGGUGGCUCAUGCCUGUAAUCCCAGCACUUUAGGAGGCCAAGGCAGGCAGAUUGACUGAGAUCAGGAGUUCGAGACCAGCCUUGGAAACACGGUGAAACCCUGUAUCUAACAAAAAAUUCAAAAAUUAGUGGUGCGUGCCCGUAGUCUCAGCUACUCAGGAGGCUGAGGCAGAAGAAUUGCUUGAACCUUGGAGGCAGACACUGUAGUGAGCUGAGAUUGCACCACUGCACUCCAGCCUGGGUGACAGAGCGAGACGCCGUCUCAAAAAAAAAAAAAAAAAAAAAAGUUGGGGGGCUACUUAGUAUGGGGGCACUCCUUAGAAGCCAAAGAGAAAAACUUUUUUCUCUCUGAUUCACUAACAUCUCUUGUUCCAUUUCUUAAUCCAUUUCCUGUUUGCCCUGAGAAAUGAGCGCCGGCAGUGAGCUGAGAUUUUUUUUUUUUCCCUUAACGGAAAAUGGGUUAAAUUAAGGGACUGGCCAGCAGUGUUUACCUUCUCUUCACUUCUUAUUACACUGUCAUUACACCAUCUGACAGUACUGCACUAUGAUGGUUAAUACUGAUUGUCAACUUGAUUGGAUUGGAGGAUGCAAAGUAUUGUUCCUGGGUGUGUCUGUGAGGGUUUUACCAAAGGACAUUAACAUUUGAGUUAGUGGACUGAGAGAGGCAGACCAACCCUCUAUCUGGGUGGGCACCACCUAAUCGGUUGCCAGUGUGGCUAGAAUAAAAGCAGGAAGAAGAUGGAAAAGCAGACUGGCUGAGUCUUCAAGCCUUCAUCUUUCUCCCACGCUGGAUGCUUCCUUCCCACAGACUCCAAGUUCCUGCCCAUCAGACUCCAAGUUCCUCAGCUUUUGGACUCUUGGACUUACACCAGUGGUUUGCCAGGGACUCUCGGGCCUUUGGCCACAGACCGAAAGCUGCACUGAUGGCUUCCCUACUUUUGAGGUUUUGGGAUGUGCACUGAUCCACCACUGGCUCCUUGCUCCUCAACUUGCAGACGGCCUAUCAUGGGACUUUACCUUGUGAUCACCCCAGUUUUGACUUGUAAAAUGUUGGAGACGCACAUCAAACAGGUAACAAAAGACUCAAAAUGGCAUUAAAUAAGUCAGCAACAAUUUCAAAACUGUCAUGACUACGGAACAUCAGCAUCUCGUGAUGUCUGUAAAAUAUCCACAGUUGCCGCACUCCUCAGAGGUGUGAGGCUGUUUGGGUAGAGCAGCUUCUUGCCUUGACUGAUGAUGUACCCACAUCUCACAUCGGUGGUUUCCAGUUGCAGCUGUAUCCCAGCACAACUCAGUAUUCCUACUUCAUGACUCUGCUCAGCUCCCUCACCUCUACCCAUGUGACCCUCCACAAGUCUCUCUCUGUUGGCCAGGGUGGUCUUGAACUCCUGGCCUCAAGCAAUCCUCCUGCCUUGGCCUCUCAAAGUGCUGGGAUUACAGAUGUGAGCCACCACACUCAGCCUCCACAUCUGUCCUUUCAGCUAGAACUUUGUCCUCUUGGUCAGGUGUGGUGGCUCAGGCCUGUAAUCCCAGGGCUUUGGGAGGCAGAGGCGGGAGGCCUCUUGCUUGAGGCCAAGAGUUCCAGACCAACCUGGGAAACAUAGUGAGACCAUGCCUCUACAAAAAUUAAAAAUAUUAGCUGGGCAUGGUGCCAAGUGCCUGCAGGGCCAGCUACAUGGGAGGCUGAGGUGGGAGGACUGCUUCAGCCCAGGAGGUUGAGGCUGCAGUAAGCCAUGAUCAUGCCACUGCACUCCAGGUUGGGUGACAGAAUGAGACCCUAUCUCAAAUAACAAUUUUUUUUUUUUUUUGAGAGGGAGUGCACUCCUUUUGAGAGGAGUCACCCAGGCUGCAGUGCAGUGGCCUGAUCUCGGCUCACUUCAACCUCUGCCUCUCGGGUUCAGGUCAUUCUCCUGCCUCAGCCUUCCGAGUAGCUGGGCUUACAGGCACAUGCCACCAUGCCCAGCUAAUUUUUGUAUUUUUAGUAGAGACGGGGUUUCACUGUGUUGGUCAGGCUGGUCUCAAACUCCUGACUGGCCUCCCAAAGUGCUGGGAUUACAGGCAUGAGCCACCACGCCCAGCCAAAAACUUUUUUUUAUUAUUAUUUCUGAGUAUCAAAAGAUACAUUUUAACUUCAGAACAACUUUUAAAUUAGCCAGAAUUAAACACAGCCUGCUUUAAUUUUCCCUAAUGUAGUUACAUGUAUCAAAUGUAUCAACGUCAGCACUAAGCCCUUAGGAAAGGAAAAAGGCCAAUUUGUUGAGAAUUGUUACAAAGAACUGGCUGCCCCUGUUCUCCUCUCUUAUUCCCAAAGCCCAACUCGGUCAGAAUCUGGGCAUUCUUCACCCCAGGGUGGGCGUGGCUGGUGACAGCUGAGGAUUUUUGUUUUGUUUUGUUUUUGUUUUGUUUUGUUUUUGAGACAGUCUCACUCUGUCUCCCAGGCUGGAGUGCAGUGGCG